CGGGCAGUGCGGCGUGCUAUACAUGCAGUCGAGCGAACAGACGAGGAGCUUGCUCCUCUGACGUUAGCGGCGGACGGGUGAGUAACACGUGGAUAACCUACCUAUAAGACUGGGAUAACUUCGGGAAACCGGAGCUAAUACCGGAUAAUAUAUUGAACCGCAUGGUUCAAUAGUGAAAGACGGUUUUGCUGUCACUUAUAGAUGGAUCCGCGCCGCAUUAGCUAGUUGGUAAGGUAACGGCUUACCAAGGCAACGAUGCGUAGCCGACCUGAGAGGGUGAUCGGCCACACUGGAACUGAGACACGGUCCAGACUCCUACGGGAGGCAGCAGUAGGGAAUCUUCCGCAAUGGGCGAAAGCCUGACGGAGCAACGCCGCGUGAGUGAUGAAGGUCUUCGGAUCGUAAAACUCUGUUAUUAGGGAAGAACAAAUGUGUAAGUAACUAUGCACGUCUUGACGGUACCUAAUCAGAAAGCCACGGCUAACUACGUGCCAGCAGCCGCGGUAAUACGUAGGUGGCAAGCGUUAUCCGGAAUUAUUGGGCGUAAAGCGCGCGUAGGCGGUUUUUUAAGUCUGAUGUGAAAGCCCACGGCUCAACCGUGGAGGGUCAUUGGAAACUGGAAAACUUGAGUGCAGAAGAGGAAAGUGGAAUUCCAUGUGUAGCGGUGAAAUGCGCAGAGAUAUGGAGGAACACCAGUGGCGAAGGCGACUUUCUGGUCUGUAACUGACGCUGAUGUGCGAAAGCGUGGGGAUCAAACAGGAUUAGAUACCCUGGUAGUCCACGCCGUAAACGAUGAGUGCUAAGUGUUAGGGGGUUUCCGCCCCUUAGUGCUGCAGCUAACGCAUUAAGCACUCCGCCUGGGGAGUACGA
RNAcentral lists this ribosomal RNA (870 nucleotides) under uncultured Staphylococcus sp. RNAcentral's name for it is "bacterial SSU rRNA". It matches the Rfam family "Bacterial small subunit ribosomal RNA", at positions 30 to 885 of the family's 1533-position model. The record is from RNAcentral. Lineage: Bacteria; Bacillati; Bacillota; Bacilli; Caryophanales; Staphylococcaceae.